RNAcentral lists this ribosomal RNA (543 nucleotides) under Hemitragus jemlahicus schaferi. Its description in RNAcentral is "partial 16S ribosomal RNA". It matches the Rfam family "Bacterial large subunit ribosomal RNA", at positions 1859 to 2624 of the family's 2925-position model. Lineage: Eukaryota; Metazoa; Chordata; Mammalia; Artiodactyla; Bovidae. The record is from RNAcentral.
CUGCCCAGUGACUAAACGUUAAACGGCCGCGGUAUCCUGACCGUGCAAAGGUAGCAUAAUCAUUUGUUCUCUAAAUAAGGACUUGUAUGAACGGCCACACGAGGGUCUUACUGUCUCUUACUUCCAAUCAGUGAAAUUGACCUUCCCGUGAAGAGGCGGGAAUAAAUUAACAAGACGAGAAGACCCUAUGGAGCUUUAACUAACUAGCCCAAAAGAAAUAUACUUAACCACCAAGGGAUAACAAUACCCUUUAUGGACUAGCAGUUUUGGUUGGGGUGACCUCGGAGAACAAGAAAACCUCCGAGCGAUUUUAAAAACUAGACCUACAAGUCAAACCAAAUUAUCGCUUAUUGAUCCAAAAAACUUGAUCAACGGAACAAGUUACCCUAGGGAUAACAGCGCAAUCCUAUUCAAGAGUCCAUAUCGACAAUAGGGUUUACGACCUCGAUGUUGGAUCAGGACAUCCCGAUGGUGCAACCGCUAUCAAAGGUUCGUUUGUUCAACGAUUAAAGUCCUACGUGAUCUGAGUCCAAAACCCGGAAA